Paenibacillus pectinilyticus is the source of this 76-nucleotide non-coding RNA. The record is from Rfam. NCBI's taxonomy places the organism in Bacteria, Bacillati, Bacillota, Bacilli, Caryophanales, Paenibacillaceae.
GGGAGCCGGAUGAGCCGAGAGGUUCACGUCCGGUUCUGAGAGGGCCUGAGGGUGUGAUUCCCUUGGGCUACUUACC